UCUACGGGUGGCAGCAGUGGGGAAUAUUGGGCAAUGGGCGCAAGCCUGACGCAGCAACGCCGCGUGAAGGAAGAAGGCUUUCGGGUUGUAAACUUCUUUUGACAGGGAAGAGUAGAAGACGGUACCUGUGGAAUAAGCCACGGCUAACUACGUGCCAGCAGCCGCGGUAAUACGUAGGUGGCAAGCGUUGUCCGGAUUUACUGGGGGUAAAGGUCGUGUAAGCGGGUUUGCAAGUCAUAGGUGAAAUCCCCGGGCUUAACCCCAGGACUGCAUUUGAAACUGUAGAACUUGAGUACUGGAGAGGCAGACGGAAUUCCUAGUGUAGCGGUGAAAUGCGUAGAUAUUAGGAGGAACACCAGUGGCGAAGGCGGUCUGCUGGACAGCAACUGACGCUGAGGCGCGAAAGCGUGGGGAGCAAACAGGAUUAGAUACCCCAGUAGUC
RNAcentral lists this ribosomal RNA (442 nucleotides) under uncultured bacterium. RNAcentral's name for it is "partial 16S ribosomal RNA". It matches the Rfam family "Bacterial small subunit ribosomal RNA", at positions 338 to 795 of the family's 1533-position model. The record is from RNAcentral.